UAAAGAUGAUAGCUAAUAUUCCAAAAUUCACGUUAACUAUGACCGAGUAUAUGGGCUCUCUUUAUACUCCCAGUCUCCCAAUUGAACAUCACCAAGAGGUAAUUUGGUAAUAACACAAAUAAUGUUUUAUAGCAUCGUUAGUUAUAUAGUUGAUGCUAAUAAAUCUUCGUUCACGCUUGACGCUUCUAAGUACUAAUGUAGUUACGUCAUGUGACCUCAUUACCAUAUUACGUCUAUAGUACAUAAUAAUAUUUUGUUUAAUACAUUUUUAUUUCAUAGGUAAAUUGUUGCGGUUAUUAACGUGUGCAGAUGAUCCUAGAAAUGAAAUUAUCCAUGCGAGUUUUGACAAAUUUAUAGAAUAUGUGAAGGAACAGUACAAAGGGGAAACAUUGCACCAAAUCGUAAGGGAAUUCUUCAUGUAUAUUGCAAAAACAAAAGCAGACAACAAAUUAAAAACACCAGAAGAAUUUUGUACUGACCUCUCCAAAACACAAAAAAAUAAUAUGACUGAAAUAGAAAAAG
Long non-coding RNA from Acyrthosiphon pisum (pea aphid), 522 nucleotides. RefSeq lists it as uncharacterized. The transcript has 5 exons. The record is from RefSeq and is a predicted model, not a curated record. Lineage: Eukaryota; Metazoa; Arthropoda; Insecta; Hemiptera; Aphididae.